AUUGAACGCUGGCGGCAGGCCUAACACAUGCAAGUCGAGCGGAUGAAGGGAGCUUGCUCCUGGAUUCAGCGGCGGACGGGUGGGUAAUGCCUAGGAAUCUGCCUGGUAGUGGGGGAUAACGUCCGGAAACGGGCGCUAAUACCGCAUACGUCCUGAGGGAGAACGUGGGGGAUCUUCGGACCUCACGCUCUCAGAUGAGCCUAGGUCGGAUUAGCUAGUUGGUGGGGUAAAGGCCUACCAAGGCGACGAUCCGUAACUGGUCUGAGAGGAUGAUCAGUCACACUAGAACUGAGACACGGUCCAGACUCCUACGGGAGGCAGCAGUGGGGAAUAUUGGACAAUGGGCGAAAGCCUGAUCCAGCCAUGCCGCGUGGGUGAAGAAGGUCUUCGGAUUGUAAAGCACUUUAAGUUGGGAGGAAGGGCAGUAAGUUAAUACCUUGCUGUUUUGACGUUACCAACAGAAUAAGCACCGGCUAACUUCGUG
RNAcentral lists this ribosomal RNA (484 nucleotides) under uncultured bacterium. Its description in RNAcentral is "partial 16S ribosomal RNA". It matches the Rfam family "Bacterial small subunit ribosomal RNA", at positions 30 to 507 of the family's 1533-position model. The record is from RNAcentral.